RNAcentral lists this long non-coding RNA (4001 nucleotides) under Daucus carota (carrot). RNAcentral's name for it is "long non-coding RNA (DCAR_LNC003785)". Lineage: Eukaryota; Viridiplantae; Streptophyta; Magnoliopsida; Apiales; Apiaceae. The record is from RNAcentral.
AAAUCAAUACCACAUAAGCAUAAUUAAUUUAAUAUUUUAUAUAUAUUUUAACCAUACAUACCUUGUGCUAUAAUGAAGGCUAAGAUAGAACACCUAGCUAUGACUUAGAAUAGCUUAGCCCCUGCAUUUAGUCAACACACAAUAUGAAUACAGAGUCACCUCUAUUAACUUGGCUACAUAAAACUCAUUGUCAUCCUUACCUGACACCAUACUACUUAAUCCCUUCGAUGCGGCUGUACACCAUGUAUGAGACUAUUAACUUAUAUUUAUAAGUAUAUACCGAUAGACAUUACCUUAAUAUUGAGAUCACGCAACUAACUAAGCCUUAUCACUAUAAUUUCGGUAUUUGAUUACGGCUCCAAAAGUAGUUUCUAGAAUAUUCUAGAAUUAUAAAUAUAAACAAAUAUAUUUUAAUACAUAAUUACAAUUAAUAUAGAUUUGAUGAUAAAAUACUUAAUUAAAAUAUUGGGGUAUUAUAUUCUUCCCCCCUUAAUAGAAUUUCGUCCUCGAAAUUAAAGGCACGAACCUUAUUCAAAAAGAUAUGGAUACUUUGUGCGAACAGACUCCUCGGUUUCCCACGUAGCUUCUCGAACAUCAUGGUUCUUCCAAAGAACCUUAACAAAAGGAAUCGUGUUUUUACGCAAGACUCUCUCCUCUCUCGCCAAUAUAGCCUCGGCCUCUUCUUCACAAGACAAGUCCUCUCGAAAUGCGUCCAAAGGAUACUGAACAAUAUGAUGUGGAUGAUAAACAUAUUUUCUCAAAAGUGAUGCGUGGAAUACAUUAUGAAUCCGUGAUAACUGUGGUGGCAAUGCAACUCUAUACGCCACUGUUCCGACUCUCUCAAGAAUCUCGAAAGAUCCAAUAUACCUCGGACUCAAUUUACCCUUUUGACCGAACCGCUGAAUGCCCUUCGAAGGAGAUACUUUUAGAAAAACGUUGUCACCAACUUUAAACUCAUACUCUCGUCGACCUUUAUCUGCAUAACUCUUUUGUCUUGACCGGGCCUGUCUAAGCCUCUCUCGAGCUACCUCUACCUUAUCGGUAGUGACCUGAACCAGAUCGGGACCCUCCAAAAGUUUCUCACCCACUUCAUUCCAACAAGUUGGUGUCCUACACUUGCGCCCAUAAAGUGCCUCAAAAGGAGCCAUACCGAUACUCGCCUGCCAACUGUUGUUGUAAGCAAAUUCCACCAACGGCAGAUACUCAUCCCAAUUUCCUGACCAAUCCAAUGCACAUGCUCGUAACAUAUCCUCCAAAGUCUGAAUCGUCCGCUCUGACUGUCCAUCUGUCUGUGGAUGAAAAGCUGUACUGUAGUUUAGUUUGGUACCCCAUGCUUUCUGAAAUCCUUGCCAAAAUUUUGAAGUGAAUCUAGGGUCUCUAUCGGAAACAAUAGAAACUGGAAUCCCAUGAAGUCUCACAAUUUCAUUCCUGUACGCUAGUGCUAAACCCUCCAAGCUCGUACUACCACGAAUAGCCAAAAAGUGUGCUGACUUAGUAAGCCUGUCCACGAUCACCCAUAUUGCAUCAUUCUUCCUCAAAGUCCUCGGCAAUCCAAUCACAAAAUCCAUACAUAUGUGCUCCCACUUCCAAGUAGGCAUUUCCAAAGGCUGUAACAAUCCACUGGGUCUCUGAUGCUCUAUCUUCACCUGCUGACAAGUCAAACACUUUGAAACAAACUCGGCUAUAUCACGUUUCAUACCAAUCCACCAAAAAUGUUCCUUUAAGUCAUGAUACAUCUUUGUUCCACCUGGAUGAAUUGAAAAUGGUGACCGAUGAGCUUCCUCCAUCACUUCCUCCCUAAGUUCCUUGUUAUCGGGCACACAUAAUCGGUUACCCAUCCAAACAAUACCCUGAUCAUCAAUGCGAAGUUCGGGUUGCUUUCCAGCUUCCAUGCUCUGUAUAAGGUACCACAACUCUCCAUCACCAUCCUGAGCUGCCUUAAUCCUCGAGAUAAGACUAGGCUCCACGUGCAUACUUGCCACCAUACCAACAACAUCAUGAUGAUAAAACUCCAAGCCAAACUUCUCAAUCUCGCGUUGAAGAGGUCUCUGUUGUGUCAUCAAUGCUGCCAAAUUCCCAAAGUUCUUCCGACUCAAGGCAUCUGCUACCUUAUUAGCUUUCCCCGGAUGAUACUGAAUACUCACAUCAUAAUCCUUCAAUAGCUCAAUCCAUCGCCUCUGCCUCAUGUUAAGCUCCCUCUGGGUAAAAAUAUACUUCAGACUUUUGUGAUCAGUAAAUAUCUCACAUUUAUCGCCAUACAAAUAGUGUCGCCAAAUCUUUAGUGCAAAAAUCACGGCCGCAAGCUCCAAAUCGUGUGUCGGGUAGUUCACCUCAUACGGUUUUAGUUGCCUUGAAGCGUAGGCGAUCACCUUCCCAUGCUGCAUCAGUACACAUCCAAGUCCCUUCUUUGAAGCAUCACUGUAAAUCACAUAACCAUCCAUUCCAGAUGGUAGAGUCAACACUGGAGAUGUCACAAGUCUCUUCUUCAAUUCCUGAAAACUAGCCUUACAUUCGUCAGUCCAUAUAAAUUUGUUGCUUUUCCGAGUCAACUGCGUCAAUGGCAUAGCAAUGGUCGAGAAACCCUCAACAAAACGUCGAUAAUAGCCAGCAAGUCCAAGAAAACUCCUCACCUCCGUCACAGUGCUAGGUCUUGGCCAGUUUGUAAUAGCCUCAACCUUUCCAGGGUCCACCUUGAUUCCAUCUGCUGAUACGAUAUGUCCCAAAAAGGCAACCUGAUCGAGCCAAAAUUCACACUUCUUGUACUUUGCAUACAACUUGUGCUCCCGUAACGUUUCCAAUACCACUCUAAGAUGCUCUUCAUGUUCUUCUUUAGUCUUCGAGUACACCAAGAUGUCAUCAAUAAACACGAUCACAAAUUUAUCUAGGAAAUCUUUGAAUACCCUGUUCAUCAAGUCCAUAAAAACUGCUGGUGCGUUGGUCAACCCGAAAGACAUUACCAAGAACUCGUAGUGCCCAUACCGAGUCCUAAAUGCUGUCUUAGGGAUAUCACUUGCCUUCACUCUCAACUGAUGGUAGCCUGAACGAAGAUCAAUCUUUGAGAAAUAUUUUGCCCCCUGUAGCUGGUCAAAUAAAUCAUCAAUCCUGGGUAGUGGGUACCUAUUCUUCACAGUAAUUCGAUUCAACUCCCGAUAGUCAAUGCAAAGCCUCAUCGAACCAUCCUUCUUCUUCACAAAUAAUACUGGUGCUCCCCAUGGUGAAACACUAGGUCUGAUGAAGCCUUUAUCAAGUAGUUCCUGCAGUUGUUCCUUCAACUCUUGUAGUUCAAGCGGAGCCAUUCUAUACGGAGCCUUGGAAAUUGGUUGUGCACCGGGUAUCAAAUCAAUAGAAAAUUCCACCUCUCUAUGUGGUGGUAAUCCAUCCAAAUCCUCUGGAAAUACAUCAGGAAACUCACGAGCCACACUGACGUCAUCAAGUUUAGUCUGCUCUAUAGAAGAAUCAACCAUAUGAGCCAAGUAUCCCUCACAACCAUGUGCAAUCAUCUUCUGUGCCUUAAUGGCUGAAAUAAAUUUUCCCAGAGAAGCAAGCUUAGAACCUUGGAACUCAAACUCGGGUGAAAUUGGGUCGCCAAAAAUUAUCUUCUUCUGCUGACAGUCGAUAGUAGCCUUAUGUUGUUCCAACCAAUCCAUCCCCAAAAUAACAUCAAAGUCUCGCAUCGGAAUAGGUAAGAGAUCGACAGAUAAUUCCCUAUCUUCAAUUCUAACCACACACUCAAGAUAUUGAACAUUCACAGACAUAUUUAACCCCAUAGGGUUAGCAACAGAAAAUUCAGACAACAAUGUAGUAGGUGCAAUGCAUAGAUGUUUGACGUAAGAUGUAGAAACAAAUGAAUGUGUAGCACCAGUGUCAAAUAAGACUGUAGCAUCACAAUUACCAAUCGAAAGUGUUCCUGUAAUGGUACCUGAAGAGUUAGCCGCAUCCUUUGCAGUGAGAGAAAACACGCGUCCAGAAUUUUUCUGCUCAUUCUUCCCAGUAUUAUUAUU